This 253-nucleotide ribosomal RNA is filed under the name uncultured bacterium. Its description in RNAcentral is "partial 16S ribosomal RNA". It matches the Rfam family "Bacterial small subunit ribosomal RNA", at positions 524 to 776 of the family's 1533-position model. The record is from RNAcentral.
UACGUAGGGCGCAAGCGUUAUCCGGAAGUAUUGGGCGUAAAGAGCUCGUAGGCGGUUUGUCGCGUCUGCCGUGAAAGUCCGGGGCUCAACUCCGGAUCUGCGGUGGAUACGGGCAGACUAGAGUGAUGUAGGGGAGACUGGAAUUCCUGGUGUAGCGGUGAAAUGCGCAGAUAUCAGGAGGAACACCGAUGGCGAAGGCGGCCUACUGGGCCAGUACUGACGCUGAGCCGCGAAAGCCAGGGGAGCGAACGGG